This 155-nucleotide small nuclear RNA is filed under the name Callipepla squamata (scaled quail). RNAcentral describes it as "U1 spliceosomal RNA". It matches the Rfam family "U1 spliceosomal RNA". Rfam says of the family: U1 is a small nuclear RNA (snRNA) component of the spliceosome (involved in pre-mRNA splicing). Its 5' end forms complementary base pairs with the 5' splice junction, thus defining the 5' donor site of an intron. There are significant differences in sequence and secondary structure between metazoan and yeast U1 snRNAs, the latter being much longer (568 nucleotides as compared to 164 nucleotides in human). Lineage: Eukaryota; Metazoa; Chordata; Aves; Galliformes; Odontophoridae. The record is from Rfam by way of RNAcentral.
AAAGGCAGGGGAGACACCAUAAUCAGGCAGGUGGUUUUCCCAGGGCGAGGCUCAUCCCCUGCUCUCCGGGUGUGCUGACCCCUGUGAUUUCCCCAAAUGUGGGAAACUCGACUGCAUAAUUUGUAGUAGUGGGGGACUGCGUUCGUGCUCUCGUA